UGGGGAAUAUUGCACAAUGGGCGCAAGCCUGAUGCAGCCAUGCCGCGUGUGUGAAGAAGGCCUUCGGGUUGUAAAGCACUUUCAGCGGGGAGGAAGGCGAUAAGGUUAAUAACCUUGUCGAUUGCCGUUACCCGCAGAAGAAGCACCGGCUAACUCCGUGCCAGCAGCCGCGGUAAUACGGAGGGUGCAAGCGUUAAUCGGAAUUACUGGGCGUAAAGCGCACGCAGGCGGUCUGUCAAGUCGGAUGUGAAAUCCCCGGGCUUAACCUGGGAACUGCAUGCGAAACUGGCAGGCUAGAGUCUUGUAGAGGGGGGUAGAAUUCCAGGUGUAGCGGUGAAAUGCGUAGAGAGCUGGAGGAAUACCGGUGGCGAAGGCGGCCCCCUGGACAAAGACUGACGCUCAGGUGCGAAAGCGUGGGGAGCAAACAGG
Molecule: ribosomal RNA, 429 nt
Filed under: Chloroflexota bacterium
Lineage: Bacteria; Bacillati; Chloroflexota
Description: Chloroflexi bacterium partial 16S ribosomal RNA
Rfam family: Bacterial small subunit ribosomal RNA
Source: RNAcentral